This 579-nucleotide ribosomal RNA is filed under the name Triticum aestivum (bread wheat). RNAcentral describes it as "partial small subunit ribosomal RNA". The record is from RNAcentral. Lineage: Eukaryota; Viridiplantae; Streptophyta; Magnoliopsida; Poales; Poaceae.
AUGGGUGGUUUCAGCCGAGCCAGCUGCUUCCUCUGCCUGGGCCCAAGGAAGAAGGAAGUCCCACCGCCUCCCCGGGCCGAACCGCGCCGAGCCGCUGCGGCAGGAACCUUCGCCUGGGACGAGCUCGCGGCCUUCGCCUUGGACGAGCUGGCGGCGGCGACCAGGAACUUCGGAGACGACUCCCGCGUCUUUGGUCCGGAGGCGGGUCUCUACAAAGGCUACCUCAAGAGCAUCAACCAGAUCGUUAGUAGGAGUAUUAACCUGCAGCAUGCCGCGGAGCAACUCAACAGCGAGUUUCUCGCCCAUGUCCUGACGCUGAGCGCGCUGCGCCACCCGAAUGUCGUCAACCUCAUUGGCUUCUGCGCGGACGGCCAAUACAGAAUCUUGGUUCACGAGCACGUGCCAUUGGGUUCUCUCGAAGAUCACCUCCACCGAGUAACCACAGUUCCCCGCUUCCCGCUCCCCGCCGCGCGCUACUCCGGCGCCGGCGUCCACCGCGCCUGGGCGCUCUCGCCGCAGCCACUCCGACUGCGGCGACCACCUCCUUGCCUCCCGGCGGCCAUCCCUCGCCGCCCCUAG